AUUAGAAAACCAAAUUGUCCUAUCACCGAUAGGGAGCUUGGCAGCUGCCGGCCGGGAUCCACGACCGGCGUUGCUGCCCGUGCUCACCAGCACCGCCCCUAGAGACGUGCUGGUUGACGCGCCGAAGUCCCCUGCUGGUGUCCCUGCAGGUUCGUCCUCGACCACCGCCGCUGGACGCGUCGGCCACCACCCGCUGCCCACCACCCGCCGCAGAUCCCCGUGGCCGGAGGCACCACGGAGGCCUGCCACUGGACGCGUCGAGGCCUUCGGCUGUACGGACUACCUAUUUGGCCCUGGCCGACACCACUGGCCGUGACCAAGUCGUUCUACCUAGGAUUGCAGCUAGCAGUUUCCAAGUCUGCAGGCAAGUUGUUUGUGGUUUCCGGAGCAGAUGGACCUGUGGUCAGAGUUGUUUCAUCGCUGGACAAGAAAUUUGAAGUUAAAUCACGUUCGUUUUUGAGAUAUCGCAAGAAUAGAAGUACCCAGCAGAAUUCCCUUACACAUCGAAUGGCUCUUCAGAAUGACAUAUGAACAGAGCUUGCCCUGCAAGGUGCUCUCCAUGCGCUUCGGUGGUAGAUUUGGCACGAGAGCGCAUACAUGCAAACACAGGCUAGGAGGUUGAGAAGAAUGGAUUGAAGAACCGAACCAAGGUCUGGCCAUCCUCAACACACUCCGUGCCAUCGUGUCAACCUCUGCAUCAACGACGGCGACAAUAGGCACAAUGUCUGACAGAUAGACAUAUAUCUAUAUUCUGUGGGUUCCUUCUCACUUCUGCUUCGGUACAAAAUAGUGCAGACAUUUGAGUGCUUUGAUUGCUACUUCGAUGUUGCCUCGAGCCCCUCAAGUGUUCUAGUUACCAGCUCUCAGCUAGUUCAAUACCCAUGUUAUUAGGCAUGAACAUCUAUAGACGGACAUGAUGUAUGUAGUUUGCUGUGUUGCAAGGUCAGUGCUGAAACUUCACUUCUGUAUAAACAGGCCAUUCUGAACUGAUGUUAUCUAACUAUGCAUGGUUACUGAAUCAU
Triticum aestivum (bread wheat) is the source of this 1022-nucleotide long non-coding RNA. RefSeq lists it as uncharacterized. Lineage: Eukaryota; Viridiplantae; Streptophyta; Magnoliopsida; Poales; Poaceae. The transcript has 3 exons. The record is from RefSeq and is a predicted model, not a curated record.